RNAcentral lists this ribosomal RNA (143 nucleotides) under uncultured bacterium. RNAcentral describes it as "partial 16S rRNA". It matches the Rfam family "Bacterial small subunit ribosomal RNA", at positions 353 to 511 of the family's 1533-position model. The record is from RNAcentral.
GUGGGGUAAUUUUCCGCAAUGGGCGAAAGCCUGACGGAGCAAUGCCGCGUGGAGGUGGAAGGCCGACGGGUCGUCAACUUCUUUUCUCGGAGAAGAAACAAUGACGGUAUCUGAGGAAUAAGCAUCGGCUAACUCUGUGCCAG